This 71-nucleotide transfer RNA is filed under the name Stegodyphus mimosarum. It matches the Rfam family "tRNA". Rfam says of the family: Transfer RNA (tRNA) molecules are approximately 80 nucleotides in length. Their secondary structure includes four short double-helical elements and three loops (D, anti-codon, and T loops). Further hydrogen bonds mediate the characteristic L-shaped molecular structure. tRNAs have two regions of fundamental functional importance: the anti-codon, which is responsible for specific mRNA codon recognition, and the 3' end, to which the tRNAs corresponding amino acid is attached (by aminoacyl-tRNA synthetases). tRNAs cope with the degeneracy of the genetic code in two manners: having more than one tRNA (with a specific anti-codon) for a particular amino acid; and 'wobble' base-pairing, i.e. permitting non-standard base-pairing at the 3rd anti-codon position. Lineage: Eukaryota; Metazoa; Arthropoda; Arachnida; Araneae; Eresidae. The record is from Rfam by way of RNAcentral.
GCCUUCGCGGUGCAACAAUAGCACACUCGACUCGUAUUCGAGAGUUCUAGGUUCGAGUCCCGGCAAGGGCA